This 482-nucleotide ribosomal RNA is filed under the name uncultured bacterium. Its description in RNAcentral is "partial 16S ribosomal RNA". It matches the Rfam family "Bacterial small subunit ribosomal RNA", at positions 30 to 507 of the family's 1533-position model. The record is from RNAcentral.
UUGAACGCUGGCGGCAGGCCUAACACAUGCAAGUCGAGCGGAUGAAGGGAGCUUGCUCCUGGAUUCAGCGGCGGACGGGUGAGUAAUGCCUAGGAAUCUGCCUGGUAGUGGGGGAUAACGUCCGGAAACGGGCGCUAAUACCGCAUACGUCCUGAGGGAGAAAGUGGGGGAUCUUCGGACCUCACGCUAUCAGAUGAGCCUAGGUCGGAUUAGCUAGUUGGUGGGGUAAAGGCCUACCAAGGCGACGAUCCGUAACUGGUCUGAGAGGAUGAUCAGUCACACGGGAAUGGAGAAACGUUCAGAAUUCCUAGGGGAGGCAGCAGUGGGAAAAAUUGGAAAAUGGGCGAAAGCCUGAUCCAGCCAUGCGGCGUGGGUGAGAAGGUCUUCGGAUUGUAAAGCACUUUAAGUUGGGAGGAAGGGCAGUAAGUUAAUACCUUGCUGUUUUGACGUUACCAACAGAAUAAGCACCGGCUAACUUCGUG